AUUGAACGCUGGCGGCAGGCCUAACACAUGCAAGUCGAACGGUAACAGGAAGCAGCUUGCUGCUUUGCUGACGAGUGGCGGACGGGUGAGUAAUGUCUGGGAAACUGCCCGAUGGAGGGGGAUAACUACUGGAAACGGUAGCUAAUACCGCAUAACGUCGCAAGACCAAAGAGGGGGACCUUAGGGCCUCUUGCCAUCGGAUGUGCCCAGAUGGGAUUAGCUAGUAGGUGGGGUAACGGCUCACCUAGGCGACGAUCCCUAGCUGGUCUGAGAGGAUGACCAGCCACACUGGAACUGAGACACGGUCCAGACUCCUACGGGAGGCAGCAGUGGGGAAUAUUGCACAAUGGGCGCAAGCCUGAUGCAGCCAUGCCGCGUGUAUGAAGAAGGCCUUCGGGUUGUAAAGUACUUUCAGCGGGGAGGAAGGGAGUAAAGUUAAUACCGUUGCUCAUUGACGUUACCCGCAGAAGAAGCACCGGCUAACUCCGUG
This 490-nucleotide ribosomal RNA is filed under the name uncultured bacterium. RNAcentral describes it as "partial 16S ribosomal RNA". It matches the Rfam family "Bacterial small subunit ribosomal RNA", at positions 30 to 507 of the family's 1533-position model. The record is from RNAcentral.